This 395-nucleotide ribosomal RNA is filed under the name Stramenopiles sp. MAST-3C. RNAcentral's name for it is "partial small subunit ribosomal RNA". It matches the Rfam family "Eukaryotic small subunit ribosomal RNA", at positions 582 to 975 of the family's 1831-position model. The record is from RNAcentral.
AUUCCAGCUCCAAUAGCGUAUAUUAAAGUUGUUGCAGUUAAAAAGCUCGUAGUUGGAUUUCUGGACGGAGCAGCCGGUCCGCCGCUGUGCGGUGUGUACUCGUGCUUGACUCGGUUCAUCCUUGUGGGGAAGCGCAUUUCGGCAUUCAGUUGUCGAGGCGGGGAACCACAUCAUUUACUGUGAAAAAAUUAGAGUGUUUAAAGCAGGCAUUUUGCUGUGAAUACAUUAGCAUGGAAUAAUAACAUAGGACUUUGAUUCUACUUUGUUGGUUGGAGAUCAAGGUAAUGAUUAAUAGGGAUAGUUGGGGGUGCUAGUAUUGAGCGGCCAGAGGUGAAAUUCUUGGAUUUGUUAAAGACGGACUACUGCGAAAGCAUUUGCCAAGGAUGUUUUCAUUA